RNAcentral lists this ribosomal RNA (189 nucleotides) under uncultured bacterium. Its description in RNAcentral is "partial 16S ribosomal RNA". It matches the Rfam family "Bacterial small subunit ribosomal RNA", at positions 328 to 540 of the family's 1533-position model. The record is from RNAcentral.
ACGCUCGACACCUACGGGAGACAGCAGUGGGGAAUAUUGCACAAUGGGGGAAACCCUGAUGCAGCAACGCCGCGUGAAGGAAGACGGUUUUCGGAUUGUAAACUUCUGUUCUUAGUGAAGAUAGUGACGGUAGCUAAGGAGCAAGCCACGGCUAACUACGUCNCGNNCGCGUAUNUNGNGGCGNGNGAG